AUCUAGUCGACGAGUCCCGGAUAAGACGAAACGCGCGUCCUGAAU
Non-coding RNA from Schistosoma rodhaini, 45 nucleotides. NCBI's taxonomy places the organism in Eukaryota, Metazoa, Platyhelminthes, Trematoda, Strigeidida, Schistosomatidae. The record is from Rfam.